CUACACAUGCAGUCGAGCGGUACAGAGAGAGCUUGCUUCUUUGCUGACGAGCGGCGGACGGGUGAGUAACGCGUAGGAAUCUACCUAUUAGUGGGGGAUAAGCCAGAGAAAUUUGGUCUAAUACCGCAUACGCCCUACGGGGGAAAGGAGGGGAUCUUCGGACCUUUCGCUAUUAGAUGAGCCUGCGUAAGAUUAGCUAGUUGGUGAGGUAAUGGCUCACCAAGGCGACGAUCUUUAGCUGGUCUGAGAGGAUGAUCAGCCACACUGGGACUGAGACACGGCCCAGACUCCUACGGGAGGCAGCAGUGGGGAAUAUUGGACAAUGGGGGGAACCCUGAUCCAGCCAUGCCGCGUGUGUGAAGAAGGCCUUCGGGUUGUAAAGCACUUUCAGAUGUGAGGAAAGGUGAGUAGUUAAUACCUGCUUACUGUGACGUUAGCAUCAGAAGAAGGACCGGCUAACUCCGUGCCAGCAGCCGCGGUAAUACGGAGGGUCCGAGCGUUAAUCGGAAUUACUGGGCGUAAAGCGCGCGUAGGUGGUUUUGUCAGUCAGAUGUGAAAGCCCAGGGCUCAACCUUGGAACUGCACCUGAUACUGCAAGACUAGAGUACAGUGAGCGGAGUGGAAUUCCGGUGGUACGGUGAAUUGCUAAAGAUCGGAGGGACCCCAGGUGCGAAGGGGAUCCCUGGAUUGGAUACGACCUUGAGGUGGAAAGCGUGGGCGCAACCGGAUAAUACCUGUAUGCCGCCGUAAAGAGUA
This 756-nucleotide ribosomal RNA is filed under the name uncultured Neptunomonas sp. Its description in RNAcentral is "bacterial SSU rRNA". It matches the Rfam family "Bacterial small subunit ribosomal RNA", at positions 49 to 811 of the family's 1533-position model. The record is from RNAcentral. Lineage: Bacteria; Pseudomonadati; Pseudomonadota; Gammaproteobacteria; Oceanospirillales; Oceanospirillaceae.